UACGUUAACGAACGAGACCUUGACCUGCUAAAUAGUUACGCGAUUCUCGAAUCGCGGCUAACUUCUUAGAGGGACUUUUGGUGACUAACCAAAGGAAGUUCGAGGCAAUAACAGGUCUGUGAUGCCCUUAGAUGUUCUGGGCCGCACGCGCGCUACACUGACAAAGGCAGCGAGUUUAUAGCCUGGAUCGGAAGGUCUGGGUAAUCUUGUGAAUCUUUGUCGUGAUGGGGAUAGAUCUUUGUAAUUAUCGAUCUUCAACGAGGAAUGCCUAGUAAGCGCGGGUCAUCAGCUCGCGUUGAUUACGUCCCUGCCCUUUGUACACACCGCCCGUCGCUAGUACCGAUUGAAUGGGUU
Molecule: ribosomal RNA, 354 nt
Filed under: Eukaryota sp.
Lineage: Eukaryota
Description: SSU rRNA
Rfam family: Eukaryotic small subunit ribosomal RNA
Source: RNAcentral